GACGAACGCUGGCGGCGUGCUUAACACGUGCAAGUCGAACGGAAAGGCCCUGCUUUUGUGGGGUGCUCGAGUGGCGAACGGGUGAGUAACACGUGAGUAACCUGCCCUUGACUUUGGGAUAACUUCAGGAAACUGGGGCUAAUACCGGAUAGGAGCUCCUGCUGCAUGGUGGGGGUUGGAAAGUUUCGGCAGUUGGGGAUGGACUCGCGGCUUAUCAGCUUGUUGGUGGGGUAGUGGCUUACCAAGGCUUUGACGGGUAGCCGGCCUGAGAGGGUGACCGGCCACAUUGGGACUGAGAUACGGCCCAGACUCCUACGGGAGGCAGCAGUGGGGAAUAUUGCACAAUGGGCGGAAGCCUGAUGCAGCAACGCCGCGUGCGGGAUGACGGCCUUCGGGUUGUAAACCGCUUUCGCCUGUGACGAAGCGUGAGUGACGGUAAUGGGUAAAGAAGCACCGGCUAACUACGUG
This 468-nucleotide ribosomal RNA is filed under the name uncultured bacterium. Its description in RNAcentral is "partial 16S ribosomal RNA". It matches the Rfam family "Bacterial small subunit ribosomal RNA", at positions 28 to 507 of the family's 1533-position model. The record is from RNAcentral.